RNAcentral lists this RNase P RNA (455 nucleotides) under Patescibacteria group bacterium. RNAcentral's name for it is "RNase P RNA component class A". It matches the Rfam family "Bacterial RNase P class A". From Rfam's summary of the family: Ribonuclease P (RNase P) is a ubiquitous endoribonuclease, found in archaea, bacteria and eukarya as well as chloroplasts and mitochondria. Its best characterised activity is the generation of mature 5'-ends of tRNAs by cleaving the 5'-leader elements of precursor-tRNAs. Cellular RNase Ps are ribonucleoproteins. The record is from RNAcentral.
UAUCUAAGCUGGAUGAUUGCUAUAUACAUUGUUUUUGCAAUGUAGAUAGAGGAAAGUCCGAACACCCUCCUCACACCCAUGUUUUGAAUUUAUCCAGUUGAUUUAUAAUUUCAAAGCAUUGGUGUGGGGAGAAGUGGAUAGCUCGUAACUCGAGCCGGGAUGCAUGGGUAUUGAAGAGUUCUAUAGACUUUUUAAUGUUCCAGAUUCCUAGGGAAAGUGUCACAGAGACUAAACCGCCCUACUUAUGUAGGGUAAGGGUGAAAAGUAAGGGCCUAAGAAUCCUUUUCCUUCUUUGGUAACAAAGUCGGAUGAAAAACCCUAUCCGGUGCAAGAUUAAAUAGGUCCUAUAAAGGACGGGUUGAUCGCUUGACCCCGCCAUCGGCGGGGCUAGAUAGAUAAUCAUCGCUUUUGUGAAAGCAAAAGUACAAAAUUCGGCUUAUAGGCUUAGAUAGAAG